UAAAAUGACUGCUGCUUUAAUGUUAUCGUUGGCUGUGAUGUUUAUUAUGUAUUACAAAUAGCUUUGAACAAGCAUCCAUGAACAGUAGCGUCCACUUUCUGAAUGUUCAGUCAUAACUCAUUCUUUUUUCACAAUUUCAUAUCCUGAUGCCAUUACUUUACAUCUGUAUUCUAAUUUAUUUAUAAAAAUAAACUUAUUUUCCUUAUAAAAAACUUUUUAAGCACACAUCUUUUACCUGAUGUGUAGUAAGUGCUUCAGACUGUUGUCCCUAGUUCAAAACUUGCCAUCUGCCUUGCUGUCCUGCAGGAUGUUCAGGCUAGGACAUAAUAAUCUUCAUUUUUGAAGGAAUGUCCUAAAUUUUUAAAACAAAAACAGGAAGUCGCAAGUUGUGAUAAAAUUGAGGAAUUCCAUUUUAGGUCUUGAACUUCUGGAAGAAAAAUAAAACAUCUUUUGGUCUGUUUAUUUUUUUAACAGAUAUUUAAGGUAUCAAUUCAGUAUAUUGUUUCAUCAUGUUACCAUUGUUUUUACAACGCCAGUUAAGCUUCAAAUGUAUUGCUGCUUAUAAUAGUCUGCAUCAAGAUUGAUUUUUGACGCCAUUUACUGAAAAUGUCCACAUUCCAGCGUAGUUAAGUGAGAGCUACCAACUUUUUCUUUUCAAACGCAAAUUAAACAAAAUACUAAUUUUAAAAAGUUUCCCCUUUCAGACCUUGCAAUCUAUGGGGCAGAUGAUGUAAAAUUCUGUUACUGUGGCCCAUGAUUAACUUAUAGAUAUCCAUAAACCAUGAGUUAUUUAUAUUUUUGUUGCCUGGUGUUAAAAUUUUCUAACAUAGAUUUAUUUUAAUUCUCUUAUUUCAUUUGUUAUCAGGCAAGAUUGCCUCAAAGUGAUUGUGACCUAUAUAUUUUGUCAACAAACACAUUGGCUACGCUGUUUGACUAUUUAUUAUUUUGUUCAUGUUUUUAUAUUUUAUGUACCAUGUAGACAUAUAUCAUUUGAAACAAAAAAAAAAUGUUCCAGCUGCUACAAGAUUUUGUCAAUCCUUGCAUUAUGUUAUUUUGAGUGAUUACUAAUUACUGCUUGCUCAUUAAUUCAGACUAUAAACAACUUUUGAGCAGAAGUAUCAGUGACAAAAUAUUUCACUUAAUAUAAUCCAGGUUGUUUAGCUUAUAGGACUGUGUGACUGGGCAGUUUAGCUUAAGGUUCGUUACCUUUAAGAUUUUAAGGCUACUCCAGUGUAUUAAAUCUUGAAGGGUGUCGAUAUCAUAGAUGCUUUUUUUUUUAUGUUAGUGUAACUCUUGAGAAUGUGUUUACAACAUUGUUAUACUGUUUUGUUUACAAAGGGUAAAUUCUCUUAGUUGACAAGUCCUAGUUAACUACCCAUAAUGCUCUCUCCAGAAGUUUGAUAAUGUCUUCCUGCAGUUGAUGGAAGUCCUUUUGUUAAUAGUUAUUACAAGUUUUAUGCUGUAUGAAGUCAAAUGUUUUGUAUUCACUAUAUCAUGGCUGCCUGGUUGUUUGGUAUGCGCUCUGGGCUGUCAUACAGUGGUCUUGAUGGUCCCAGUUCAAACCCUGCCCGCUGCCAUCCUCUAUCAUCCUGUAAGAGGUUUGGACUAGGAUGUAAUUAUCUUCAAAUCUGAAACAUGUAAAACAAUUAUUAGUUUUUUAAAAACAUGCCAUUUUAUGUUUCUAAUGCCUUGCUCACUCUAUUUCUCCUACUGUCUGUUCACCUUUUUAUAUCUCUCUCUCUCAGUACUUUGAGAUUUCAUAUUUCUGUUCUUUUAUGUAUUAUGUACAUUUCUUUCAUUUUUAGCAUUCGCAAACAAACUUUGAACAUUUGCUUUGGAGGAUAUUUUUGUUUGUCUGAUUCAGCAGCAUGUAGAUACAUUGCAUUUAGUGAUCUUUUGAGUAUUUCAUUUUGUUACCUUGUCAUAUAUCAGUUUUAGAACCCCUGUAAUAUUUGUUGACUAGUAG
Molecule: non-coding RNA, 1966 nt
Organism: Biomphalaria pfeifferi
Lineage: Eukaryota; Metazoa; Mollusca; Gastropoda; Planorbidae
Source: the annotation of a GenBank genome assembly